GGCCCUAUAGUCUAGCGGUCAGGACGCUACCCUCUCAAGGUAGAAGCACGGGUUCGAUUCCCGUUAGGGCUACCA
This 75-nucleotide transfer RNA is filed under the name Pseudomonadota bacterium. RNAcentral's name for it is "tRNA-Glu". It matches the Rfam family "tRNA". From Rfam's summary of the family: Transfer RNA (tRNA) molecules are approximately 80 nucleotides in length. Their secondary structure includes four short double-helical elements and three loops (D, anti-codon, and T loops). Further hydrogen bonds mediate the characteristic L-shaped molecular structure. tRNAs have two regions of fundamental functional importance: the anti-codon, which is responsible for specific mRNA codon recognition, and the 3' end, to which the tRNAs corresponding amino acid is attached (by aminoacyl-tRNA synthetases). tRNAs cope with the degeneracy of the genetic code in two manners: having more than one tRNA (with a specific anti-codon) for a particular amino acid; and 'wobble' base-pairing, i.e. permitting non-standard base-pairing at the 3rd anti-codon position. RNAcentral also lists the same sequence under 1 other name. Lineage: Bacteria; Pseudomonadati; Pseudomonadota. The record is from RNAcentral.